RNAcentral lists this ribosomal RNA (253 nucleotides) under uncultured bacterium. RNAcentral's name for it is "partial 16S ribosomal RNA". It matches the Rfam family "Bacterial small subunit ribosomal RNA", at positions 524 to 776 of the family's 1533-position model. The record is from RNAcentral.
UACGAAGGGGGCUAGCGUUGCUCGGAAUCACUGGGCGUAAAGCGCACGUAGGCGGCUUCUUAAGUCAGGGGUGAAAUCCUGGAGCUCAACUCCAGAACUGCCUUUGAUACUGGGAAGCUUGAGUUCGGGAGAGGUGAGUGGAACUGCGAGUGUAGAGGUGAAAUUCGUAGAUAUUCGCAAGAACACCAGUGGCGAAGGCGGCUCACUGGCCCGAUACUGACGCUGAGGUGCGAAAGCGUGGGGAGCAAACAGG